RNAcentral lists this ribosomal RNA (440 nucleotides) under Riatina sp. MCJ-2002. RNAcentral describes it as "partial 16S ribosomal RNA". It matches the Rfam family "Bacterial large subunit ribosomal RNA", at positions 1826 to 2531 of the family's 2925-position model. The record is from RNAcentral. Lineage: Eukaryota; Metazoa; Arthropoda; Insecta; Orthoptera; Gryllidae.
GUCUUUUUGGGGAAAUUGAAAGUCGUGCCUGCCCACUGGGGUGAAUUGAAGGGCCGCGGUAUUUUGACCGUGCAAAGGUAGCAUAAUCAUUAGUCUUUUAAUUGUAGGCUAGAAUGAAUGGUUUGACGAAAUAAUUAUUGUCUCAUAAUGAAAUAUUGAAUUUUACUUUUAAGUUAAAAGGCUAAAGUGUUAAUGAGGGACGAGAAGACCCUAUAGAUCUUUAUAUUUUUUAAUAUAUUAAUUAUUAUUAGUUGUUUAAUUAUUUAUGAUGGGGAAUAUUUUAUUGGGGUGAUAAGAGAAUAAAAGAACUUCUAUUUGAUAGACUUUGAUAGAUGGUUUAUAUGAUCCUUUAAUAUGGAAUGUAGAUUAAGAUACCUUAGGGAUAACAGCGUAAUUUUAUUGGAGAGUUCUUAUUGAUAAUAAAGAUUGCGACCUCGAUG